This 2820-nucleotide long non-coding RNA is filed under the name Nicotiana tabacum (common tobacco). RNAcentral describes it as "long non-coding RNA (NTAB_LNC009985)". The record is from RNAcentral. Lineage: Eukaryota; Viridiplantae; Streptophyta; Magnoliopsida; Solanales; Solanaceae.
UCAAAGGUUUGAUAGCACCUUGCUUCAGGAGAGAGAGCUGUCCCUUUAAAGGAGUUUCCACAAACAAUAUCUCUCUCUCUCAAUAGGACAUACCAUUUAUUAAAGUGAUGGAUAAGUCCAGAUAAAAUCAUAAGCAAUUGCUCCACAAAUUGAAGGGAAGUCUUGGCGUAGCUGGUAAAGUUGAUGCCAUGUGAUUAGGAAGUCACGGGUUCAAUCCGUGAAAAUAGCCUCUUGCAGAAAUGCAAGGUAAGGUUGUGUACAAUAUAGAUCCAUAUGAUCCGAUCAUUCCCUGAACCCCGCACAUAGCGAGAUUUUAGUGCACUAGGCUGCCUCCCCCCUUUAAUUGCUCCACGAAUUGUCCCUCUGAAGCCAAGCUUAUGGAAGGAAAAAAAGUGUUUUUGAGGAGAAGCAGAAGCAGAAAAAAAUAGCUUCUCUCCAAAAACACUUUAGAAAAAUACACUUAGAAUCAGUUUUCAAAAGCUUGGCCAAACACUAAAUACUGCUCAAAAGUGUUUUUCAAAUUAAUUAGCCAAACACAAACUGCUUCUCACCAAAAGCACUUUUUUAAAAAGUACUUUUGAAAAAAACACUUCUCAAAAUAAGCCGAUUUUAGAAGCUUGGCCAAACGGGCUAUACUACAACUAAAUCUUUCAAAUUCUAAAGAAGUGAUGUUAAUUUUGAAUAAUGUGUCCUCUGAGAUCUAGACAAAGCUUCCAACAAUUCCUGCUAGCUCACACAUUUAUCAGCCCCUUUUAAUCAGUAACCACAUAACAAAGUUGGGAAAUCAUCCCCCCUCUGAUGAAUUAUUUGAUGCUUGAUUGGCACCAAAAAGAAAAAACAGGAGAUGGCAAGGGAAAUCCAAAUGAUUAAAAGUUCACUUUUCUCCAGGUACAAAUUUUGGCCUAAAAUAAGGGGGAUAUUCAAUACAACCAGACAAAAAAUCCAAGUGGUAGAAUCUAGUUUACAAAAAGAAAGUAAUUUACAGACAAAUCUCUUUCUGAAAUAGCAAGAUACUUUUUCCAGAUUGGAUUAAAAAAAUCAUGUAAGAGAAAUUCUAAUACUGGUAUCCAUCAUACAAAAAGAACUGUUCAACACCUACUUCAUAUUCAGAAUUUCAUAUUCAAGAAACUGUAACAAUUAUGACCUGACUUCAUAUUCCCCAGCCUUGGUUAGAGCUCGAAAACCUUUAUUAGGUCGUGAAGGUAGAUUCUUGAAAUCAAGUUUUUCUAUUUUCAAACCUGAGAGCGCAACACCCAUUAUUUUGAAUUCCACAAGAAAUGUAGGGAAUACAUGAAGCCGCUCUAAACCGGUUUCCAACACUAACGUUCCAGUCAUUGAAGGAGUUUUAUCUUUCGGCAUCCGGCCGAUGGACCAAGUGCAGGUCUGCACUAAUAAAGCAAUGUGUCAGGAUCCAACUAAACAAGAUAGAUUAGAUCCUAUCACAUAAUACAAAAAUGGAGUCAGCCUGAAAAAAGAAGAAAAAAGAAGAAAAAAACUAAGUUUACCAUCCAUUUCCAAGUUUUUUGUCAUUUUACAGUACAGUUAGAACUGACUAGUGUAGAAAAUAUCUUUACUCAGUUAUUCUUAAUCAACUGCAGGUAAUAACAUUUAUACUUCCAUUAAGAAAAGGCACCAAGAAUAAGCCAACUCUGAGAAUGAGAUGAAGUACCAAAUACCUUAUUGGAAAGGAUGUUUACUGUUCCAUAAUUUGAUGUAAGGUCUGCAGAUAAAACACGAGGGGGCAGUAGAAAUUGCACGCUUAUAUCAUCAAUUGCCUUCCCAGGAUCAUUGCGAAUCCCAACUAGCAAGCUAAUACGACAUGUCCCUGAGUCUGAAGUAAUUUGUGGCUUUACAUAUAUAGGGGUACUCUUCAACUUCUUUAUUCUGCAUUGGAUAUUUUAGAGGGGAAAACAGAAGAUUACCAAGAGAAGGUAAAAACAGCAAACAAGUGAAUUCUUUAAUGCACUUUGCCUAUGGUAAAUACUGCAAACAGGUAAAUUUUCCUGUUUUUCAUGUUUGUGCUAUGCACCUCGUAGUUCACGAUCUGCCCAUAACCUCAUCAACAAUGGACUAACUGUCACUGUUUAUGGAUACAUCUUAUAAUAAAUACUCCCUCCGUUUGAAAAAAAAUGAACCUAUUAUUAUUUGGGAAGUCAAACAAGGUUUUCUUUGACCACAUUUUUGCAAAUACUUUUUAAAUAUUUUGAAUCGUUAAACUAUUGUGACUUAUAGUAUUUUUUUACGUAAUUUCUAAAUAUGUCAAUUUUAUUUCAAAAUUUUUAAAAAAACCUAUGCAAAUUCACACCGAAAAUUAGUCAAUUCGACCCUCGUACUCGGAAAAGGUUCGUUCUUUUUGAAACGGAGGGAGCAGUGGUUGAGAAAAAAGAGACAAGCUUUUCUUUCUGUGCAUGGAGUUCAUUUAUGAACAGUUCAACUUUCAUUAUGCAUUUAUUAACAGUUCAACUUUCAUUAUUUGGAGGGAGCUGCGGGGAGGGGUUCUGGAACAUCCUGCCAAAGAUGGAGGGGUUAAUGUCAUGGGUUUCAAUAUUAGAGGGGAUAAAGAGUAGUAACUCUAUACAUGUGCAAGUACAUUCUAAGUGUAAACAGAAGAUUAGAACAUUCUUUAGGUAAAGCCAAACUAUAAAAUUUUACUCAUGAAUGAAGGCAAUGCCAAUUAUUAACAACACAAACCUGUAGCUCAUGAGCUUAAACUGUCCAUCAGGAGGAACAAAAGACAGAAUUUGGUUUGAUUCCCACGCUCGCAGCCGAACACAAGGAUGGAAUCUCACAUCAUUCAAGAUGGAAGGAUUUGCAAAUGAA